This 375-nucleotide ribosomal RNA is filed under the name Salmonella enterica subsp. enterica serovar Havana. RNAcentral describes it as "partial 23S ribosomal RNA". It matches the Rfam family "Bacterial large subunit ribosomal RNA", at positions 520 to 796 of the family's 2925-position model. The record is from RNAcentral. Lineage: Bacteria; Pseudomonadati; Pseudomonadota; Gammaproteobacteria; Enterobacterales; Enterobacteriaceae.
AGAACCCCGGCGAGGGGAGUGAAAAAGAACCUGAAACCGUGUACGUACAAGCAGUGGGAGCCCCACCACUAAGCCAGUGGUGAACUCCACAUACGCAUCCUUUGCUGAGGAUACGGUUAACGGAGCGCAAGCGACGUUCAACCGCAAAAGAAGCAGAGGGGGCUUAGUGGUGGGGUGACUGCGUACCUUUUGUAUAAUGGGUCAGCGACUUAUAUUCUGUAGCAAGGUUAACCGUAUAGGGGAGCCGCAGGGAAACCGAGUCUUAACCGGGCGUUAAGUUGCAGGGUAUAGACCCGAAACCCGGUGAUCUAGCCAUGGGCAGGUUGAAGGUUGGGUAACACUAACUGGAGGACCGAACCGACUAAUGUUGAAAAA